GACGAACCACACAACCGUUAUUCGGAAUUACUGGGCUUAAAGGGUGCGUAGGCUGCGCAGAAAGUUGGGUGUGAAAUGCCUCGGCUCAACCGAGGAACUGCGCCCAAAACUACUGUGCUUGAGGGGGAUAGAGGUGAGCGGAACUUAGGGUGGAGCGGUGAAAUGCGUUGAUAUCCUAAGGAACACCCGUGGCGAAAGCGGCUCACUGGAUCUCUUCUGACGCUGAGGCACGAAAGCUAGGGUAGCGAACGGG
Molecule: ribosomal RNA, 253 nt
Filed under: uncultured bacterium
Lineage: Bacteria
Description: partial 16S ribosomal RNA
Rfam family: Bacterial small subunit ribosomal RNA
Source: RNAcentral